UGGGGAAUAUUGGACAAUGGGCGCAAGCCUGAUCCAGCCAUGCCGCGUGUGUGAAGAAGGCCUUUUGGUUGUAAAGCACUUUAAGCGAGGAGGAGGCUACUUGGAUUAAUACUCUAGGAUAGUGGACGUUACUCGCAGAAUAAGCACCGGCUAACUCUGUGCCAGCAGCCGCGGUAAUACAGAGGGUGCGAGCGUUAAUCGGAUUUACUGGGCGUAAAGCGUGCGUAGGCGGCUUCUUAAGUCGGAUGUGAAAUCCCUGAGCUUAACUUAGGAAUUGCAUUCGAUACUGGGAAGCUAGAGUAUGGGAGAGGAUGGUAGAAUUCCAGGUGUAGCGGUGAAGUGCGUAGAGAUCUGGAGGAAUACCGAUGGCGAAGGCAGCCAUCUGGCCUAAUACUGACGCUGAGGUACGAAAGCAUGGGGAGCAAACAGG
RNAcentral lists this ribosomal RNA (430 nucleotides) under Acidobacteriota bacterium. RNAcentral's name for it is "Acidobacteria bacterium partial 16S ribosomal RNA". It matches the Rfam family "Bacterial small subunit ribosomal RNA", at positions 355 to 776 of the family's 1533-position model. Lineage: Bacteria; Pseudomonadati; Acidobacteriota. The record is from RNAcentral.